AUUGAACGCUGGCGGCAGGCCUAACACAUGCAAGUCGAGCGAGCGGCGGACGGGUGAGUAAUGUAUGGGGAUCUGCCCGAUUGAGGGGGAUAACUACUGGAAACGGUUGCUAAUACCGCAUACCAUCGGAUGAACCCAAAUGGGAUUAGCUAGUAGGUGGGGGAAAGGCUCACAUAGGCGACGAUCUCUAGCUGGUCUGAGAGGAUGAUCAGCAACACUGGGACUGAGACACGGGCCAGACUCCUACGGGAGGAAGCAGUGGGGAAGAUUGCACAAUGGGCGCAAGCCUGAUGCAGCCAUGCCGCGGGUAUGAAGAAGGCCUUAGGGUUGUAAAGUACUUUCAGCGGGGAGGCGUUACCCGCAGAAGAAGCACCGGCUAACUCCGUGCCAGCAGCCGCGGUAAGUC
This 406-nucleotide ribosomal RNA is filed under the name uncultured bacterium. RNAcentral describes it as "partial 16S ribosomal RNA". It matches the Rfam family "Bacterial small subunit ribosomal RNA", at positions 29 to 526 of the family's 1533-position model. The record is from RNAcentral.